GUUAACGAAAUUAAGUAGUAAUUUGAGUAGUUUAAGAAACUAAAAACAUUACACUUUCAUCGUAAAAUUAAAUAUUUCUCAA
RNAcentral lists this transfer RNA (82 nucleotides) under Platerodrilus sp. UPOL 000587. RNAcentral describes it as "tRNA-Glu". The record is from RNAcentral. Lineage: Eukaryota; Metazoa; Arthropoda; Insecta; Coleoptera; Lycidae.